Molecule: ribosomal RNA, 470 nt
Filed under: uncultured bacterium
Lineage: Bacteria
Description: bacterial SSU rRNA
Rfam family: Bacterial small subunit ribosomal RNA
Source: RNAcentral
AGGACGAACGCUGGCGGCGCGCUUAACACAUGCAAGUCGUGCGGUACCGAUGGCAAGUCUUCAUGACGAGCCUUCGGUAUAGCGGCGGACGGGUGAGUAACACGUGAGUAGCUGUCCUAGGGAGGGGGAUAACGCCUGGAAACGGGUGCUAAAACCCCAUAAGCCUCGCAAGAGGUGAAAGUGUACUUGUUACAGCCUUAGGGUGUGCUCGCGGCCUAUCAGCUAGUUGGUGAGGUAAGGGCUCACCAAGGCUAAGACGGGUAGCCGGCCUGAGAGGGUGUACGGCCACACUGGAAUUGAGAUACGGUCCAGACUCCUACGGGAGGCAGCAGUGGGGAAUUUUGGGCAAUGGGCGAAAGCCUGACCCAGCGACGCCGCGUUGGGGAUGAAGUCCUUCGGGGCGUAAACCCAUGUUGUAGGGGAAGAAGAAAGUGACGGUACCCUACGAGAAAGCCCCGGCCAACUACGUG